This 239-nucleotide long non-coding RNA is filed under the name Lathyrus oleraceus (garden pea). RNAcentral's name for it is "Pisum sativum (pea) long non-coding RNA (PSAT_LNC011151)". Lineage: Eukaryota; Viridiplantae; Streptophyta; Magnoliopsida; Fabales; Fabaceae. The record is from RNAcentral.
AAAAAAAAAAAAAAAAAAAAAAGAAAAAAAAAGAAAAAAAGAAAGAGGAGGGUGCAAAAUCAAAAGAAAUCAAAAGAAAGCAAAAUCAAAAGCUAAAUCAAAAGAAAAAAAAACAAAAGAAAGAUAGCACCCUCAAAGUCCCAAGUUGACUAAUGCUGAAUUCGACGGAAAGAACGAAAAGAUCAACUGCCAUGUGUCAUGGUCAAGUUAUAUCAGCAGAGAGUGAAGAAAGCAUUCGA